This 280-nucleotide ribosomal RNA is filed under the name uncultured bacterium. RNAcentral's name for it is "partial 16S ribosomal RNA". It matches the Rfam family "Bacterial small subunit ribosomal RNA", at positions 773 to 1060 of the family's 1533-position model. The record is from RNAcentral.
GUUGAUUAGAUACCCUAGUAGUCCACGCCGUAAACGAUGGAUACUAGCUGUUCGGAGCAAUCUGAGUGGCUAAGCGAAAGUGAUAAGUAUCCCACCUGGGGAGUACGCACGCAAGUGUGAAACUCAAAGGAAUUGACGGGGGCCCGCACAAGCGGUGGAGCAUGUGGUUUAAUUCGAUGAUACGCGAGGAACCUUACCAGGGCUUAAAUGGGAGUGGACAGCUUAGGAAACUAGGCCUUCUUCGGACCACUUUCAAGGUGCUGCAUGGCUGUCGACAGCU